Molecule: long non-coding RNA, 489 nt
Organism: Platichthys flesus (European flounder)
Lineage: Eukaryota; Metazoa; Chordata; Actinopteri; Pleuronectiformes; Pleuronectidae
Exons: 3
Source: RefSeq, a predicted model, not a curated record
AACACUUGGAUAAGCUAACAGCAGCAUGAAUCAAUUUCGACAACCGAGAUGCUCAGUGGUCGGCUGCACAAAUCAGCACAAAUGUCUUCAUGUGACUCCAGCUUCAGAAGACACAAGAUUGAGAUGGAUUGAGUUCAUAUAUGAUGGCAACGUUCCUGCCACCACUUUGAAUCGGACUGUUUUAUCAACCUGGGCCAAUAUAACGCUGGAUUCUCUAAAAGGUUGUUAUUGAAAGAGGGGUCGGUGCCAUCUUUCCAUCGCAAUACUGAAGACGAGGGAAAUGCAAGCACAUCUGUUCACGGUGCUAGGCUACAUCACGUAGCAUGCCAGACGGACCCACCACAGAUGCGCACACAUGGAACGCAGCUUUCUAUGAAAACACUGCGACCUCACUACAAAAGUACAGGCACACAGAAAACUGUGCUGCACUGAUGUUGGUGUUGGGACCUCAGCUGUAAGAGACCUCGCUUGGAGGAGGGAGAGGACAAC